Hypomesus transpacificus is the source of this 569-nucleotide long non-coding RNA. RefSeq lists it as uncharacterized. The record is from RefSeq and is a predicted model, not a curated record. The transcript is spliced from 3 exons. NCBI's taxonomy places the organism in Eukaryota, Metazoa, Chordata, Actinopteri, Osmeriformes, Osmeridae.
CAUACCAUUUAGACAAGCUUUGCCCAUAAUGUCUGUGUCAUCGCUGCCUUUUUAUCAUUGGUUCCCAAUGGGAGAGAUGGUGGUGAUCUAGUUGCCUACAUGUGGGGACUAGCUACGAGGUACAUGUCAAUGUCUUUAUGUUUGCAGAAAAUGACCAAACCCAAAAGCAGGCCUUGCCCUCACUGCCAGGUCAUGAAUACUGUCAACCGCAAAACAUGCCUUUCAUGUUUUGCAAGCCUCUCACAAAAAAAGAGGAUUAAGUCCAAGGAGGAGAGUUUGCAUGUUGGUGACUGGGGGGAGAAUGUGAAGAAGCACCGCAACGCAGGCAGAGUGAUAGAUUCAGCCCGCAUAUCUGUCAAUAAGCUGCAUGAACUGGACUUAAAGCCCCUGCUCUUCAUGGGGAAAGAGAAGAGAGGGGGGGGGGGUUUACAGCAGAGGUCAUUGCAGGCAUAGGCUUCAUACCAGAGGGGCCUGUGAGGGAGAUCAUUAAAAAAAUGACCACCCUUUAUGAAUACUAUCUUAAAUACCAUAAUAGCCUCGUUGCCACAGCUGGUGAAGAAACAAGAGAA